RNAcentral lists this ribosomal RNA (576 nucleotides) under uncultured Chloroflexota bacterium. Its description in RNAcentral is "bacterial SSU rRNA". It matches the Rfam family "Bacterial small subunit ribosomal RNA", at positions 531 to 1107 of the family's 1533-position model. Lineage: Bacteria; Bacillati; Chloroflexota. The record is from RNAcentral.
GGGGCGAGCGUUGUCCGGAGUCACUGGGCGUAAAGCGCGCGCAGGCGGCAACCUAAGUGUCGUGUGAAAGCCCCCGGCUCAACCGGGGGAGGCCAUGGCAAACUGGGUCGCUCGAGCUGCGGAGAGGCCCCUCGAAUUGCCGGUGUAGCGGUGAAAUGCGUAGAGAUCGGCAGGAAGACCAAGGGGGAAGCCAGGGGGCUGGCCGCAGGCUGACGCUGAGGCGCGACAGCGUGGGGAGCAAACCGGAUUAGAUACCCGGGUAGUCCACGCCGUAAACGAUGACCACUCGGCGUGCGGCGACAUUGACGUCGCGGCGCGCCCUAGCUCACGCGAUAAGUGGUCCGCCUGGGAACUACGAGCGCAAGCUUAAAACUCAAAGGAAUUGACGGGGGCCCGCACAAGCAGCGGAGCGUGUGGUUUAAUUCGACGCAACCCGCAGGACCUUACCCAGACUGGACAUAACGGGCAGACGGCGGAAACGUCGUCGCCUGCGGGGUCCGUCACAGGUGCUGCAUGGCCGUCGUCAGCUCGUGUCGUGAGAUGUUGGGUUAAGUCCCGCAACGAGCGCAACCCUUG